This 253-nucleotide ribosomal RNA is filed under the name uncultured bacterium. Its description in RNAcentral is "partial 16S ribosomal RNA". It matches the Rfam family "Bacterial small subunit ribosomal RNA", at positions 524 to 776 of the family's 1533-position model. The record is from RNAcentral.
UACGUAGGUGACCAGCGUUGUCCGGAUUUACUGGGCGUAAAGGGCGCGUAGGCGGCGCCGCAAGUCGACUGUGAAAUCUCCGGGCUUAACCCGGAAAGGUCAGCCGAUACUGCGGGGCUAGAGUGCAGAAGGGGCAACUGGAAUUCUCGGUGUAGCGGUGAAAUGCGUAGAUAUCGAGAGGAACACCUGCGGCGAAGGCGGGUUGCUGGGCUGACACUGACGCUGAUGCGCGAAAGCUAGGGGAGCGAACGGG